GUGAGGAAUAUUGCGCAAUGGAGGCAACUCUGACGCAGCCAUGCCGCGUGCAGGAAGAAGGCGCUACGCGUUGUAAACUGCUUUUAACCGGGAAGAAACCCCAGGACGUGUCCUGGGUUGACGGUACCGGAGGAAUAAGCACCAGCUAACUUCGUGCCAGCAGCCGCGGUAAUACGAAGGGUGCAAGCGUUAUCCGGAUUCAUUGGGUUUAAAGGGUGCGUAGGCGGAGCGUUAAGUCAGUGGUGAAAUCCUGCAGCUUAACUGUAGACUUGCCAUUGAUACUGGCGCUCUUGAGUGCGCUUGAAGUGGGCGGAAUGUGCCGUGUAGCGGUGAAAUGCUUAGAUAUGGCACAGAACACCAAUUGCGAAGGCAGCUCACUAAGGCGAUACUGACGCUGAGGCACGAAAGCGUGGGGAUCGAACAGGAUUAGAAACCCCAGUAGUCC
This 445-nucleotide ribosomal RNA is filed under the name uncultured bacterium. Its description in RNAcentral is "partial 16S ribosomal RNA". It matches the Rfam family "Bacterial small subunit ribosomal RNA", at positions 354 to 796 of the family's 1533-position model. The record is from RNAcentral.